Long non-coding RNA from Mauremys mutica (yellowpond turtle), 4271 nucleotides. RefSeq lists it as uncharacterized. The transcript is spliced from 6 exons. Lineage: Eukaryota; Metazoa; Chordata; Testudines; Geoemydidae. The record is from RefSeq and is a predicted model, not a curated record.
UACAGGAGGAAGAUAUACAUACAAAGAACAUGAAAAGAUGGGGGUUGCCAUACCAACUCUAAGAGACUAGUCAAUUAAGGCGAGCUAUUAGGAGGAGAAAAAAAAACGUUUGUAGUGAUAAUCAGGGUGGCCCAUUUCAAACAGUUGACACGACAGUGUGAGUAACAGUAGGGGAAAACUGAUACUAGCUCGUCUGAGUUGAUUAGUCUCACAGAGUUGGUAUGGCAGCCUCCAUCUUUUCAUGGUGUGUGUGUGUGUAUGUGUGUGUCUUCCUACUGUAUGCUCCACUUCAUGCAUCUGAUGAAGUGCGUCAUAGCCCACGAAAGCUUAUGCCCAAAUAAAUUUGUUAGUCUCUAAGGUGCCACAAGGAGUCCUUUUUCUUUUUGCGGAUACAGACUAAUACGGCUCCCACUCUGAAACCUCCUUCCCCUGUCACUGUCACGCUCCACUCUCAACACAUCAGGCUCAGUCCCAGCCAUGGAAAGUUUAACCUGUCUCCGUUCUAUCUCUCCAUCUCCCAAGGUGUCACUUACCACCCUGUCCCUGGCUCUCCAGGCUUAGGAGUCACAACUUUGAUGUCUAUGGUCUUAGGUCAGACGCCUGAGUGCUGGAGAAGGAAGUGUCACAGACUUGGGAGUGGGCAGGGAAAUCUCAAUGAACUUCAAAGCACAGUUUGACCUUCAGAUUUUAUAGCCCUGUUUCCAUCUAUUGAUAAAAUUGCUUCCUGGCUUUUUCUAGGUUUAGUCCAGAUCAUUUAUAGAUGGGAAGGUUGUUUUGUCUUUCAUUCUCUUUCUUUUAUGAUGAUGCUGCUAAAACUUUUGUAACUCAUACAGCCGAAUAAGCAGGUGAGAAGUGAAGCCGGUUUAGCCACUUCAGAAGAAAAUGGGUAAAUUUCUUAAGAGUCUCUGAGAUUUCAACUUCAUGAAUGUGAAAUCAUUGUAUAGUCCACCCUGGCCUGUGGGUUUUUCUCUCUUUGUGACGGCCGUGAGGUCACGUCUUUGAUAUUAGUUUAGUUGGAUAGGUUGUAGCUCAGAUUUCCUGCAGAUUUCAAGAGACAUUUGGUCAUUGGCACGAAUCAUCCUUUUUUAGAUAUUAUUUUAUUUUAAUGUUUGUGUAACCCUUUGUCGUGAGAUUUUUGUGUGUGUGGUUUGAACAAUGACAGUAAUAAUAAUAAUAAUUGGAGAUAUACCAAUCUCCUAAAACUGGAAGAAACCUUGAAAGGUCAUCGAGUCCAGCCCCCUGCCCCAGAUCCCUAAGUGGCCCCCUCAACCCUGGGUUAGCAGGCCAAUGCUCACACCACUGAGCUAUCCCUCCAGUGAUCAGUGUCUCUCAGCAUGAACACUGAUGGUGAGAGUAGGGUACGUCCAGACUAUCCGCCAUAUCCGCAGGUAGCAAUCGAUUUUUCGGGGAUCAAUAUAUCGCGUCUCAUCUAGACGCGAUAUAUCGAUCCCCGAACGCGCUCCUGUCGACUCUGGAACUCCACUGGAGCGAGUGGAGGUAGCGGAGUCGACACGGGGAGCCACGGACGUCGAUCCUGCACCGUGAAGACCCGAGGUAAAUCAAUCCAAGAUACUUUGACUUCAGUUAUGCUAUUCACGUAGCUGAAGUUGCGUGUCUUAGAUCGAUACCCCCUCCCCCAGUGUAGACCAGCCCCUAGAUUCAGAAUGCGAGAGGCAGAGACUGAAAUGGAAGUUACUGCCUGUGAAAGCAAUGUUAAGUGAGCCUAUACCUUUGUCAAGUUAACUGUGUACAUGAUAAAGAGGGGAAAAGAGGGAGCUCCGAGAAACACAAUUGCAACAGGUAAUCUUAAGAAAGCCAUUAACCGCAAAAGAACAACUCUUUAAAACGGGACAACUUGGUUUUGCUGUGUUCCUAAUAAGGAAAUAUUAAUGAGGAAAUGUGCUUAUCUGUAUAUUGUUAAAAAUCUAUGUAAGCUUUUAUUGUUUUCAUCUUUGCAGAGCGGCUCGGUGCAGCUGUCUCUCCCUGCAUGCUUGUAUUACAAUAAAGAGGCAUCAGGCUGUCUGAUCCAAACGCAAGGCCUGGGAAUGCAGAGCUACGUUUCACCUCUGUUUCCCGUUUUUGGGACUGAAGAGACUCCAACAUGCGAUCAAUAAGCACCUUGGUGCCAGAGCCGAGCUGAAGCCUGAAGAGUUCCAGGUGGACAUUUGCAGACACCUUGCCAAAGAGAAUGCAGAGCUGCUGGAGAACUUGUACAGCACCACCAUCACAUACUUCAGUAGCAGCUGGGAAGGGAUCCGGGCGGUUGCCGCCAAGUUAGCUGGCAUCAUCCUGGAACACACAGACACUCAGCGUAUGAAAUGGCUGGACCUGGAACAUGUGCUGAUGUCUCUCCAGGUCCUAGAGAAAGACCCAAGUCCCACUGUCCAGCUGGUGGCAACUGAGAUCAUAAGUGACAUCUGUCCUGGCCGAGCGCUUGGCGAAUGAAGCAGAACGGAGACAAACAGAACAAGGCACUCCAGUGGUAUAAGGGCCCUACCAUCAAUCAAAUGUUAACCCCACCCCUUGACCCUGGCAGCAAGAUGUGUCAUGUGACCCCUCUAAGAACUCCUCCCACUUUCCUCUACCAAUCAGGAUGGGUUUCGCCCCAAUAGGAAUGCCCCGAGAGAAGACUUGACCAAUCAGGUGGAGUUCCGGGGCAGGUGACCUGUCCUUUGUGUGACCCCUCUAAGAACUCCUCCCACCGCCAUCUACCGAUCAGGGUGGGUUUCAGCCACUGGGGAUCACUCCAAGAGGAGAUUUGACCAACUGGAGGGAAUUCUGGGGUGGGGUGACCCAUCCGGAAGUGCUUCAUGUGACCCCUCUAGGAACUCCUCUCACCACCCUUUACCAAUUACGAUGGGUUUCAGCUGCAGAGGACUGCCCCAAGAGGAGAGUUGACCAAAACAGGGUAGGUUCUCGGAAGGGGUGAACGUCCCAGAAGAGGGUCGUGUGACCCCUCUAAGAACUCCUUCCAAUGCCCUCUGCCAAUCAGAGUGCAGCACAUCACCUCAUAAGUCCCAGCGCUGGGCAGAGGAGGCCAUCUCUUACCAAGAAGAUGUGUUUUAUGAAUUGUGGAAAGGCUGAGAGGAGACAUGGACUCUUUUUUACCACUCCCCUGAGAACUUCAGACUUUGUUUUAGCCCCGAGGACCUUUGGGCUUGUAUGGAUAAAGCGCUAUAGCAGUUACAGUUCCGAGGAGGGCCCUUUGACUCGACCAUUGAUAGAUACCUCGGGACCUGACCCCGAACCCUCGUGAAGAACCCCGUUGAGUGUGACGACCCCCCCCCAAAGUGGGAAGAUGAUCAUGGCUUGGGGGAGUCACUGGUGGACAAGGUGAAUGGGAAAGACAUUGCUCAGCUCGACGAUGCCUUUCAAGAGGCCUUUGAGAACUUACACAUCGGUAGCCCUGUCGUGCAUCAGCUGUUUUUGCUCCUGUCUGAGAUGCAGAUCUCAAGAGGAAAAUCCGGAAAAGGACAAAAUAGAAGAAUGAACCAGCUCAGAGUCUUUCGUUGUAGGGGUCAUGGCGUCCAUUUUUACAGGUGGCUGUCAAAGGUUGUGUUAAACCAGGGAAUUAAUUAAACUUAUUUAAAUGUGUCCCUAUGACUGUAUCCCCCUUCAUACUUGUGUUAGUAAAAGACGGUACCAGGAACAGUCCUGUCUCCACAGACAGCUCUGUUAAUGAAAAUAUAUUACAUCCCCAGGGAAGCUGGGAGUUUUGGUGGGGGAAUCCUCUUUUUCGAGUGGCCAAAAAGCACAGUAAAACUUUAAAUAGAAGACAGGUAAAAGCUUAGCUUUCAGAUCAGAUGCUUACACGUUACACAAACUGGCUCAAAUACCUUUUAAAAGAAACAAGACCAUUGUUUCAGAUGUGGACGCGCAAUGGCAGGCAGAUCUGGUAGAUGUGCACCGGUUCUCCAAACACAACGGAGGCUUUAAGACGUGUUAUCUGACUUUAUAAAGAGUGACAACCAGAGCUUUCACAGAACUGUACGUACCAGACCUGCUGAUGUUAAUCCUUCACAUUCUCUGAAGAUAUGGAAAACAGUUUAUAGAGAUGGUUUUAAAAUAAAACCAGUUGUUGCCCCUUUUAGAAAAGGCGACCACGUGAGACUAUCUAAAGUCAAAGGAGCCUUUGAAAAAGGUUAUGAACAGACGUUUACUGAUGAGCUAUUUAUAGUGGAUGAAGCCUUAACCAGGAGCCAGAGACCUAUAUACUGAUUAAAAGAUUACGAGGGUGAGACAGUUACUGGAUCUUUUUACCCUGAAGAAUU